GACGAACGCUGGCGGCGUGCUUAACACAUGCAAGUCGAACGGAAAGGCCCUGCUUUUGUGGGGUGCUCGAGUGGCGAACGGGUGAGUAACACGUGAGUAACCUGCCCUUGACUUUGGGGUAACUUCAGGAAACUGGGGCUAAUACCGGAUAGGAGCUCCUGCUGCAUGGGGGGGGUUGGAAAGUUUCGGCGGUUGGGGAUGGACUCGCGGCUUAUCAGCUUGUUGGUGGGGUAGUGGCUUACGAAGGCUUUGACGGGUAGCCGGCCUGAGAGGGUGACCGGCCACAUUGGGACUGAGAUACGGCCCAGACCCCUACAGGAGGCAGCAGUGGGGAAUAUUGCACAGUGGGCGGGAGCCUGAUGCAGCAACGCCGCGUGCGGGAUGACGGCCUUCGGGUUGUAAACCGCUUUCGCCUGUGACGAAGCGUGAGUGACGGUAAUGGGUAAAGAAGCACCGGCUAACUACGUG
RNAcentral lists this ribosomal RNA (468 nucleotides) under uncultured bacterium. Its description in RNAcentral is "partial 16S ribosomal RNA". It matches the Rfam family "Bacterial small subunit ribosomal RNA", at positions 28 to 507 of the family's 1533-position model. The record is from RNAcentral.